UACGAAGGGGGCUAGCGUUGUUCGGAAUUACUGGGCGUAAAGGGCGCGUAGGCGGCGUGUCAAGUCAGGCGUGAAGGCCCCGGGCUCAACCUGGGAACCGCGCUUGAGACUGGCAUGCUCGAGUUCGGGAGAGGAUGGUGGAAUUCCCAGUGUAGAGGUGAAAUUCGUAGAUAUUGGGAAGAACACCGAUGGCGAAGGCAGCCAUCUGGACCGACACUGACGCUGAGGCGCGAAAGCGUGGGGAGCAAACAGG
This 253-nucleotide ribosomal RNA is filed under the name uncultured bacterium. RNAcentral describes it as "partial 16S ribosomal RNA". It matches the Rfam family "Bacterial small subunit ribosomal RNA", at positions 524 to 776 of the family's 1533-position model. The record is from RNAcentral.